UGAUUAUACCCAGGGGCUUAACCAUGAUC
RNAcentral lists this non-coding RNA (29 nucleotides) under Mus musculus (house mouse). Lineage: Eukaryota; Metazoa; Chordata; Mammalia; Rodentia; Muridae. The record is from RNAcentral.